This 397-nucleotide ribosomal RNA is filed under the name uncultured bacterium. Its description in RNAcentral is "partial 16S ribosomal RNA". It matches the Rfam family "Bacterial small subunit ribosomal RNA", at positions 523 to 918 of the family's 1533-position model. The record is from RNAcentral.
AUACGUAGGGGGCGAGCGUUGUCCGGAAUGAUUGGGCGUAAAGGGCGCGUAGGCGGCCCGGUAAGUCUGGAGUGAAAGUCCUGUUUUUAAGAUGGGAAUUGCUUUGGAUACUGUCGGGCUUGAGUGCAGGAGGGGUAAGUGGAAUUCCCAGUGUAGCGGUGAAAUGCGUAGAGAUUGGGAGGAACACCAGUGGCGAAGGCGACUUACUGGACUGUAACUGACGCUGAGGCGCGAAAGUGUGGGGAGCAAACAGGAUUAGAUACCCUGGUAGUCCACACUGUAAACGAUGAAUGCUAGGUGUAGGGGGUAUCGACCCCUUCUGUGCCGCAGUCAACACAAUAAGCAUUCCGCCUGGGGAGUACGGCCGCAAGGUUGAAACUCAAAUGAAUUGACGGGG